Molecule: long non-coding RNA, 357 nt
Organism: Arabidopsis lyrata subsp. lyrata
Lineage: Eukaryota; Viridiplantae; Streptophyta; Magnoliopsida; Brassicales; Brassicaceae
Exons: 2
Source: RefSeq, a predicted model, not a curated record
UUCACUACUCCGACGAACGCAACCAUUUCAAUUCAUCUCAGCAAUCUUCAAGCUCUGAUUUAAUCUCGGCAUAAUCUGAAGAUGUCGAUUAAUGUUUGGGAUUUCAAAUAAGUUCUCUCAAAUUCGGAUGGGAUUGUAGCAGAUCAAAACCUUCGGCGCCAACAAUCUCCAUGUUGCAAUUGAAUCAAAUCUGGCUAAUUCAGUGGAUGCAUGUAAGUGAGUGCUAUCAACCAAGUGCGUAAUCAAGCAAUGGAGUACAGGAGACAAAUCAAUCGAUUGUUCAUUUCAUAAUCGGAUCAUUCUAAAGUUUACUGAGCAAAAAUCCAGCACAAAGUCUUACGAAGAUGGACACAGAAG